Long non-coding RNA from Delphinapterus leucas (beluga whale), 1663 nucleotides. RefSeq lists it as uncharacterized. Lineage: Eukaryota; Metazoa; Chordata; Mammalia; Artiodactyla; Monodontidae. The record is from RefSeq and is a predicted model, not a curated record.
GGGGGGGGCGGGCGCGGGGACCGGGUAGAGCUCGUCUCCCCUCCCCUCGGGACCUUCAAUGCUAGUAAUAAAGGACAAUCAACCAAGGCAUACAAAAUACAUCAGUGCUGCUUCUUCCCCGCGUGGGCAGCUGUGCUCCUGGCAGCCUCAGCGGGGCUGGGGGCAGGAGGCGGGGCAGCACACCUGGGGCCAGUGAGUCGCAGAGACAAGGUGACCUGAUCGUGGUCGAGGCGGAGUGGGAUUCUGAUCUGGCCUAGUGGACACCUGGACUCCUGCUGUAUGCAUCUGUCUUUCCAGGUUUACUCCAGAUGACUAAAGCCUCAGCCUGUCCUCACCUGGUCACCCAUGAGGUCACCUGCCAGCUCCCCCAGACUCAGCCGGCUCUGGUCUCAGCGUCCUGGGUUUACGAGGCCCACAGGUGCUGCAAGGAGUGACCUGGUGCUCUACUGACAGGUGUGUUAUGACCAUCGGACCCUUUGGACAGAUUGAACAAUGUCUCUGAGAAACCCCCAAACUGUUCACUGUUCAUUUUUACAGGAGAAGACAUCUCAUACCUGCAGAGGUAAAGGGGUGACGAGCUCAUAAAAGCAGGAAUAGCAAAAUUUUCCUGUUACAAAGGGUUUUAAUAUGAGGGAAAGGUUCAGAGGUGAGAGCCCUUCAAAGGGAAAAUGACCAAACCCCACAGACGUCAAGGUUGGAGAAGUAAACGGGGUCCCUUGCGGAUUGAUGCUCCCCCUGGAUGCUCCGAGACGGACGUCAGUCUCUGAGCUCACGGGGAAGUUCUGGCUUCGCGUGAAGCAGGUGUGUUAUCCUGGAGUCGGACAGGGUCACAGGGAGAGGAGAGCCAGUGUGGACAGAGGGAGCGUGCACCCCCUCGGUCUGUCCACACCUGCUUCUCACGCACCUCACACGACCCCAGGCUGCUCAUCCGGACCUCUGCGCAGGGUCCACACUUCCACAUUGCUCUGCUUUCUCUGUGUGCAUGGGAUAAACUCUCACACAUCGUAGCACCCGCAGGCUGGGCUGCAAUGCUGGCCUUGGGAUGUGGGUUCCUGAAACGCACGGAGAAGGGGAGAGAGACCCUUGCCCGGCAUUGUCACAUCUUCCGUAGGAGGCAUCGUUGUCACUCACAUCCCCAAGGCUCACAUCGCUCAAGCAACGUUUGAAACGUAACAGAUAAGUGUUUCAAGAUGGCCCCAGAGUCCUUUUUUUCCACUGAUUUUUCUCAAGUUGCAUGGGUUCGGAGCCCAGCAGUCCCUGGGCAGUCACAGAACAUGCGUGUCAUGAAGAGCCCUCAAAAGCCAAAAUUGUUCUGACUGGUUCCCCAUUGUUUUGUGGCUGUCAGAAAAUAACCUGUAUUUAUUUUGAAAUAAUGUUCCUGCCUUUUUGUUCUAUAUAAAUGUAAUUUCUAUUUACUGUAGAAAAUUAAGAAAAUACAGGAGAGUAUACAGAAGAAAUUUAGAUGACUUAUAUUUCUGCCACCCAGAGAGAGCUCCUGUUAACAUCUUGAUGUAUUUUCUUUCAGGCUUUACGUGCAUAUAUUUAUACACUGGAGAUAAUUCUGUAUAUACACUUUGAGACUCUGUUUUUCACUAUUACAUUGUGAGCAAUGUAGUCCAAUCUGUGGUUACCCCAUAAUAAAGUGGCCCAUUCCUCUGCUGAA